This 1723-nucleotide ribosomal RNA is filed under the name Salmonella enterica subsp. enterica serovar Dublin. RNAcentral describes it as "partial 23S ribosomal RNA". It matches the Rfam family "Bacterial large subunit ribosomal RNA", at positions 1223 to 2925 of the family's 2925-position model. Lineage: Bacteria; Pseudomonadati; Pseudomonadota; Gammaproteobacteria; Enterobacterales; Enterobacteriaceae. The record is from RNAcentral.
GUUGGGUAGGGGAGCGUUCUGUAAGCCUGUGAAGGUGGCCUGUGAGGGUUGCUGGAGGUAUCAGAAGUGCGAAUGCUGACAUAAGUAACGAUAAAGCGGGUGAAAAGCCCGCUCGCCGGAAGACCAAGGGUUCCUGUCCAACGUUAAUCGGGGCAGGGUGAGUCGACCCCUAAGGCGAGGCCGAAAGGCGUAGUCGAUGGGAAACGGGUUAAUAUUCCCGUACUUGGUGUUACUGCGAAGGGGGGACGGAGAAGGCUAUGUUGGCCGGGCGACGGUUGUCCCGGUUUAAGCGUGUAGGUGUGUGUUCCAGGUAAAUCCGGUUCACUUUAACACUGAGGCGUGAUGACGAGGCACUACGGUGCUGAAGUAACAAAUGCCCUGCUUCCAGGAAAAGCCUCUAAGCAUCAGGUAACAUCAAAUCGUACCCCAAACCGACACAGGUGGUCAGGUAGAGAAUACCAAGGCGCUUGAGAGAACUCGGGUGAAGGAACUAGGCAAAAUGGUGCCGUAACUUCGGGAGAAGGCACGCUGACACGUAGGUGAAGUGAUUUACUCAUGGAGCUGAAGUCAGUCGAAGAUACCAGCUGGCUGCAACUGUUUAUUAAAAACACAGCACUGUGCAAACACGAAAGUGGACGUAUACGGUGUGACGCCUGCCCGGUGCCGGAAGGUUAAUUGAUGGGGUCAGCGCAAGCGAAGCUCCUGAUCGAAGCCCCGGUAAACGGCGGCCGUAACUAUAACGGUCCUAAGGUAGCGAAAUUCCUUGUCGGGUAAGUUCCGACCUGCACGAAUGGCGUAAUGAUGGCCAGGCUGUCUCCACCCGAGACUCAGUGAAAUUGAACUCGCUGUGAAGAUGCAGUGUACCCGCGGCAAGACGGAAAGACCCCGUGAACCUUUACUAUAGCUUGACACUGAACAUUGAGCCUUGAUGUGUAGGAUAGGUGGGAGGCUUUGAAGUGUGGACGCCAGUCUGCAUGGAGCCGACCUUGAAAUACCACCCUUUAAUGUUUGAUGUUCUAACGUGGACCCGUUACCCGGGUUGCGGACAGUGUCUGGUGGGUAGUUUGACUGGGGCGGUCUCCUCCUAAAGAGUAACGGAGGAGCACGAAGGUUGGCUAAUCCUGGUCGGACAUCAGGAGGUUAGUGCAAUGGCAUAAGCCAGCUUGACUGCGAGCGUGACGGCGCGAGCAGGUGCGAAAGCAGGUCAUAGUGAUCCGGUGGUUCUGAAUGGAAGGGCCAUCGCUCAACGGAUAAAAGGUACUCCGGGGAUAACAGGCUGAUACCGCCCAAGAGUUCAUAUCGACGGCGGUGUUUGGCACCUCGAUGUCGGCUCAUCACAUCCUGGGGCUGAAGUAGGUCCCAAGGGUAUGGCUGUUCGCCAUUUAAAGUGGUACGCGAGCUGGGUUUAGAACGUCGUGAGACAGUUCGGUCCCUAUCUGCCGUGGGCGCUGGAGAACUGAGGGGGGCUGCUCCUAGUACGAGAGGACCGGAGUGGACGCAUCACUGGUGUUCGGGUUGUCAUGCCAAUGGCACUGCCCGGUAGCUAAAUGCGGAAGAGAUAAGUGCUGAAAGCAUCUAAGCACGAAACUUGCCCCGAGAUGAGUUCUCCCUGAGACUUAAAGUCUCCUGAAGGAACGUUGAAGACGACGACGUUGAUAGGCCGGGUGUGUAAGCGCAGCGAUGCGUUGAGCUAACCGGUACUAAUGAACCGUGAGGCUUAACC